This 497-nucleotide ribosomal RNA is filed under the name uncultured bacterium. RNAcentral describes it as "partial 16S ribosomal RNA". It matches the Rfam family "Bacterial small subunit ribosomal RNA", at positions 28 to 507 of the family's 1533-position model. The record is from RNAcentral.
GAUGAACGCUGGCGGCGUGCCUAAUACAUGCAAGUCUAGCGAACAGACGAGGAGCUUGCUCCUCUGACGUUAGCGGCGGACGGGUGAGUAACACGUGGAUAACCUACCUAUAAGACUGGGAUAACUUCGGGAAACCGGAGCUAAUACCGGAUAACAUGUUGAACCGCAUGGUUCAACAGUGAAAGACGGUCUUGCUGUCACUUAUAGAUGGAUCCGCGCCGCAUUAGCUAGUUGGUAAGGUAACGGCUUACCAAGGCAACGAUGCGUAGCCGACCUGAGAGGGUGAUCGGCCACACUGGAACUGAGACACGGUCCAGACUCCUACGGGAGGCAGCAGUAGGGAAUCUUCCGCAAUGGGCGAAAGCCUGACGGAGCAACGCCGCGUGAGUGAAGAAGGUCUUCGGAUCGUAAAACUCUGUUAUUAGGGAAGAACAAAUGUGUAAGUAACUAUGCACGUCUUGACGGUACCUAAUCAGAAAGCCACGGCUAACUACGUG